This 391-nucleotide unclassified non-coding RNA is filed under the name soil metagenome. Its description in RNAcentral is "partial contains 5.8S ribosomal RNA, internal transcribed spacer 2, and large subunit ribosomal RNA". The stretch from base 1 to 122 matches the Rfam family "5.8S ribosomal RNA", at positions 35 to 154 of the family's 154-position model. The record is from RNAcentral.
GAUGAAGAACGUAGCGAAAUGCGAUACUUGGUGUGAAUUGCAGAAUCCCGUGAACCAUCGAGUCUUUGAACGCAAGUUGCGCCCGAAGCCAUUAGGCCGAGGGCACGCCUGCCUGGGCGUCACACGUCGUUGCCCCCCCAUCUACUCCUUCGGGAUUGCGGGGGGCGGAUGAUGGCCUCCCGUGCGCCUCGCCGCGCGGUUGGCAUAAAUGCCAAGUCCUCGGCGACGCACGCCACGACAAUCGGUGGUUGCGAAACCUCGGUUGCCCGUCGUGUGCGGUCGUCGCGCAUCGAGGGCGCGAAAAAAUUGCCGGGUUCCGGCUCGGCUUUCAACGCGACCCCAGGUCAGGCGGGGUUACCCGCUGAAUUUAAGCAUAUCAAUAAGCGGAGGA